This 448-nucleotide ribosomal RNA is filed under the name uncultured bacterium. RNAcentral describes it as "bacterial SSU rRNA". It matches the Rfam family "Bacterial small subunit ribosomal RNA", at positions 355 to 825 of the family's 1533-position model. The record is from RNAcentral.
UGGGGAAUAUUGGACAAUGGGCGCAAGCCUGAUCCAGCCAUGCCGCGUGAGUGACGAAGGUCUUCGGAUUGUAAAGCUCUUUUUGGCGGGGACGAUAAUGACGGUACCCGCAGAAUAAGCCCCGGCUAACUUCGUGCCAGCAGCCGCGGUAAUACGAAGGGGGCUAGCGUUGUUCGGAAUUACUGGGCGUAAAGCGCACGUAGGCGGACUGAUAAGUCGGGGGUGAAAUCCCGGGGCUCAACCUCGGAACUGCCUUUGAUACUGUUAGUCUCGAGUCCGGAAGAGGUGAGUGGAAUUCCUAGUGUAGAGGUGAAAUUCGUAGAUAUUAGGAAGAACACCAGUGGCGAAGGCGGCUCACUGGUCCGGUACUGACGCUGAGGUGCGAAAGCGUGGGGAGCAAACAGGAUUAGAUACCCCCGUAGUCCCUGAGCGGGCUGGCAAGGCGCAU